RNAcentral lists this ribosomal RNA (302 nucleotides) under uncultured bacterium. Its description in RNAcentral is "partial 16S ribosomal RNA". It matches the Rfam family "Bacterial small subunit ribosomal RNA", at positions 508 to 809 of the family's 1533-position model. The record is from RNAcentral.
GCAGUAGCCGCGGUAAUACAGAGGGUGCGAGCGUUAAUCGGAUUUACUGGGCGUAAAGCGUGCGUAGGCGGCUUUUUAAGUCGGAUGUGAAAUCCCUGAGCUUAACUUAGGAAUUGCAUUCGAUACUGGGAAGCUAGAGUAUGGGAGAGGAUGGUAGAAUUCCAGGUGUAGCGGUGAAAUGCGUAGAGAUCUGGAGGAAUACCGAUGGCGAAGGCAGCCAUCUGGCCUAAUACUGACGCUGAGGUACGAAAGCAUGGGGAGCAAACAGGAUUAGAUACCCGCGUAGUCCCUGUCUCUUAUAA